AGGACGAACGCUGGCGGCGUGCUUAACACAUGCAAGUCGAACGGUGAAGCCCUUCGGGGUGGAUCAGUGGCGAACGGGUGAGUAACACGUGAGUAAUCUGCCCCCGACUCUGGGAUAACUUCGGGAAACCGGAGCUAAUACCGGAUAUUCACAUUCUGUCGCAUGGUGGCGUGUGGAAAGAAUUUUGGUCAGGGAUGAGCUCGCGGCCUAUCAGCUUGUUGGUGGGUAAUGGCCUACCAAGGCGACGACGGGUA
This 254-nucleotide ribosomal RNA is filed under the name uncultured bacterium. Its description in RNAcentral is "partial small subunit ribosomal RNA". It matches the Rfam family "Bacterial small subunit ribosomal RNA", at positions 26 to 285 of the family's 1533-position model. The record is from RNAcentral.